Molecule: non-coding RNA, 301 nt
Filed under: Eutrema salsugineum
Lineage: Eukaryota; Viridiplantae; Streptophyta; Magnoliopsida; Brassicales; Brassicaceae
Description: TeloSII non coding RNA 33
Rfam family: TeloSII non coding RNA 33
About the family: Located downstream of the TeloSII elements.
Source: Rfam by way of RNAcentral
CAAGUUUCUAUCAAUCAAAUUCUGAAUACCAAAAAAAGGACUACACUCUCUCACUCGUUUAUUUACAGUAAAACAGAUACCAACAAACCCACACCAAAUUGUUUGAUUCACAUCACACCCAAAAUACAAAUGGUCAAAAAAGAGGAUUCUCUCAAAAUUUCAAGGUAAAGAACUAAAGAAAAGUGAAAAUGUAUAUAUUAAACUAGAGAAGCCUCCUCCUGAAGUUUCUGGUCGUUGAUUGAUAAGUACGAACGAGAAGACCGACACCAAUCCCAAGACCAACGCAGACACCAAGUCCUAU